This 550-nucleotide ribosomal RNA is filed under the name uncultured bacterium. Its description in RNAcentral is "bacterial SSU rRNA". It matches the Rfam family "Bacterial small subunit ribosomal RNA", at positions 259 to 801 of the family's 1533-position model. The record is from RNAcentral.
AAGGGCCCACCAAGGGGACGAUGGGUAGCCGGUCUGAGAGGAUGAUCGGCCACACUGGGACUGGAACACGGCCCAGACUCCUACGGGAGGCAGCAGUGGGGAAUAUUGCGCAAUGGGCGAAAGCCUGACGCAGCGACGCCGCGUGAGGGAUGAAGGUCCUCGGAUCGUAAACCUCUGUCAGGAGGGAAGAACCGCCACGGUGCUAAUCAGCCGUGGUCUGACGGUACCUCUAAAGGAAGCACCGGCUAACUCCGUGCCAGCAGCCGCGGUAAUACGGAGGGUGCGAGCGUUAAUCGGAAUCACUGGGCGUAGAGCGCACGUAGGCUGCUUGGUAAGUCAGGGGUGAAAGCCCGCGGCUCAACCGCGGAAUUGCCUUUGAUACUGCCGAGCUAGAGUCCGGGAGAGGGUAGUGGAAUUCCAGGUGUAGCAGUGAAAUCCGUAGAGAUCUGGAGGAACAUCAGUGGCGAAGGCGACUACCUGGACCGGUACUGACGCUGAGGUGCGAAAGCGUGGGGAGCAUACAGGAUUAGAUACCCUGGUAGUCCACGCC